This 506-nucleotide ribosomal RNA is filed under the name uncultured bacterium. RNAcentral's name for it is "bacterial SSU rRNA". It matches the Rfam family "Bacterial small subunit ribosomal RNA", at positions 19 to 518 of the family's 1533-position model. The record is from RNAcentral.
AUGGCUCAGGAUGAACGCUAGCGACAGGCUUAACACAUGCAAGUCGAGGGGCAGCAUAAAAGUAGCAAUACUUGGUGGCGACCGGCGCACGGGUGAAUAACGCGUAUGCAACCUACCUAUCAGAGGGGAAUAACCCGGCGAAAGUCGGACUAAUACCGCAUAAAACAGGGGCACUGCAUGGUGAUAUUUGUUAAAGAAAUUCGCUGAUAGAUGGGCAUGCGUUCCAUUAGGUAGUUGGUGAGGUAACGGCUCACCAAGCCGACGAUGGAUAGGGGAACUGAGAGGUUGGUCCCCCACACUGGUACUGAGACACGGACCAGACUCCUACGGGAGGCAGCAGUGAGGAAUAUUGGUCAAUGGGCGGGAGCCUGAACCAGCCAAGUCGCGUGAAGGAAGAAGGAUCUAUGGUUCGUAAACUUCUUUUGCAGGGGAAUAAAGUGCAGGACGUGUCCUGUUUUGUAUGUACCCUGAGAAUAAGGAUCGGCUAACUCCGUGCCAGCAGCAGC